RNAcentral lists this small RNA (507 nucleotides) under Pongo abelii (Sumatran orangutan). Its description in RNAcentral is "processed transcript". The record is from RNAcentral. Lineage: Eukaryota; Metazoa; Chordata; Mammalia; Primates; Hominidae.
AAAAGGAAGUGCAAAAUGCGUAGGGACAAAGAAUCGCCUCUACCCUGCUCAAGUGGUUAAGCGUGCAUCAGAAAGGAAUUUGUUGGCCGGGCGCGGUGGCUCACGCCUGUAAUCCCAGCACUUUCGGAGGCCGAGACACAUCACCUUCACUUUGGGAUGUGGAGUUUGCUAAGCAGUUAGCCACAGUAAAUGAACAACCCCUUCAGAAUGGAUUUGAAGAGCUGAUCCAGUGGACAAAAGAGGGGAAACUAUGGGAGUUCCCAAUUAACAAUGAAGCAGGUUUUGAUGAUGAUGGUUCAGAAUUUCAUGAACAUAUAUUUCUGGAGAAACACCUGGAGAGCUUUCCAAAACAAGGACCAAUUCGCCACUUCAUGGAGCUGGUGACUUGUGGCCUUUCCAAAAACCCAUAUCUUAGUGUUAAACAGAAGGUUGAGCACAUAGAGUGGUUUAGAAAUUAUUUUAAUGAAAAAAAGGAUAUUCUAAAAGAAAGUAACAUACAGUUCAAUU